ACCCCAUGUAGUAGGAUAAAGGCUUGAUGUUAUUGUUGUUGUUGUAUUGUGUUGCUAGUUUUUAUUUUUAUUUAUUUAUUUUUAUUAUUUUUGUUUGAAACAGGCUUUCAGAUUCUUCGAUUAUAACAAAGUUGGGUACAUCAAGAUGGAUGAUUUGAGAUGCUUACUUCAUGACCUUGGCAAGUUUCUUUCUCACCGAGACGUCAAGGAGUUGGUACAGAGUGCCCUGUAUGAAAGCAGUUCUGCUAGAGAUGACCGGAUUUUCUAUAAGAAGCUUGUGAGGAUUAGGGAUCUAUGAACCGUGUAAGGAUUAGUUCUACAAAAGAAGUCUCUUGUUAUUAGAUAUUCUCACAUCUUUGCAUAUUUUCUCUUCAGAAUUUACUACAUAAUGAUAAUGUUUUGGCACAUAGAAGUCUACAAUCUGCCAUAAAAACUGCUUGAAACACAUUUUAGGGCUAAACAUUUAUUUCAUUCUUAUUAUUAUGAUGUGUUCAAACGCAUGAUUCAUCUAUGCAAUUACUGCUUUAUUUGCCUAA
Dendrobium catenatum is the source of this 536-nucleotide long non-coding RNA. RefSeq lists it as uncharacterized. The transcript is spliced from 3 exons. The record is from RefSeq and is a predicted model, not a curated record. NCBI's taxonomy places the organism in Eukaryota, Viridiplantae, Streptophyta, Magnoliopsida, Asparagales, Orchidaceae.